This 428-nucleotide ribosomal RNA is filed under the name Zonitis flava. RNAcentral's name for it is "partial large subunit ribosomal RNA". It matches the Rfam family "Bacterial large subunit ribosomal RNA", at positions 1930 to 2573 of the family's 2925-position model. Lineage: Eukaryota; Metazoa; Arthropoda; Insecta; Coleoptera; Meloidae. The record is from RNAcentral.
GCUGCAGUAUCUUGACUGUACAAAGGUAGCAUAAUCAUUAGUUUUUUAAUUGAAAGCUGGAAUGAAUGGCUGAAUAAGGAAAUGACUGUCUCUUUUUAAUUAAUUUGAACUUUAUUUUUAAGUUAAAAAGCUUAAAUUUAAUAAAAAGACGAGAAGACCCUAUAGAGUUUAAUAGGUUUAUAUUUUUAUAAUUUAGGAUUUUAUUAUAUAAUAACGUUAACUUAUUUAGUUGGGGUGACUGUAGAAUUUAAUAAACUUCAUUUUUGUAAUCAUUGAUUUAUGAAUAAAUGAUCCUAGUGUUUAGAUUAAAAGAAUAAAUUACCUUAGGGAUAACAGCGUAAUUUUUUUGGAGAGUUCUUAUCGAUAAAAGAGAUUGCGACCUCGAUGUUGGAUUAAAGUUUAUUUUUGGUGCAGAAGCUAAAAUAUUA